UAGGCGGGGUGGGUGUGCCUAUGCAAACAAGAUCAGCCCCUGGAGUUCUUUUCCACAACUCGCCACAAUUCACCACCAGAUGUCAGGGUAGAGCUCAUCCUGACUCUGCUUACAUAAGGCUUGAUUAGGAAAAGAGGGAAAGGUCAAUUAACAUGCAUUAGCUAAUCUCAACCUAACCUCAACCUCUGUUCCUAGCCUGCAUGGACAGGUCUGUAAAGUGUUUGUGGAGGCUUUUGCAGGGAAUGUGCCUCUGCCGGAUGACUUAGAAAUGUCUGUUACCAGUGUUUUCUCUCAACAGCAGUCAUUGUUGUUCACCACUCUAGGUAACUUAAUGGAACACCUGCUGGCAGGCUUGAUGUACCCCAACGAAGGUGUAAAGGCUGCUGUCUGCUAUCUUUACGGCAAGCUGUACUCUUCCCCCAUUAGUUCAGAAAGGCUCUCAGUGCAUUUCACAGAGAGGCUGCGUGACCUCUUCCUGGCUACCCUAGGGAAUGCACAGACAAAGGAACUGCAGGUUAACUGCAUGGGUUUGCUAAAGGAGCUGCUGAAUUCUGACCAUUUUGUAUCAGUUAUUAUGAGCAAUUCAAGAAGAGGGGCAGAUUCUGAGAAUACUGAGUUGUUGGAGGGAGAGAACCUACUGCCGCUAGUGCUCAAAAAGCUGUUGCUGUCCAGAGAUGAGAUACUACAGGUGGCAAGUGUUCAAUGUAUGACUGCUGUGCUUGUGCAUUCUCCUAUCAAAUAUGCUCCUGCCUUCAUUCAUGCAGACAUCCCAGAAUUCCUGUUUGAGUGUCUCUUCUGCACCAGUGAAAUUCUCCUCUGGUCAGUUUAUUGCUGCCUGCUACUCCUAACUGAGGAGCGGCUUUUCUUUUCCAAGUGUCACACAGUCUAUGGCAUCGAGUCCGUGGUGAGGAGCCUGAAAGGGAUCCUGCAGCUGAAUAAUGUGGAGCUGCACAAGCAGGGACUUUUGCUGUUCACUGAAAUACUGAAACGGCAGCCAGUGGAAAUCAAGUUAUUCUCAAAUCUAGCCAUGUGUAAAGAUGCCAUUGGUGUUCUUGUGGAGGCAGUAAAAUGUCCGGUGCUGGAGGUAGCAGCAGAGGCUGUGAAAGCUGUGGCAGCUAUUCUGAGGAAGGACCACUUGAGCUGCCCCCCAGUGCAGUAUGUAGAGUUGCAGAAACUGAUUGAGACUAUGCUGAAGCGGUGCGCUGACCUCUCACUGCCACCCAUUAACAGGAGGCCUGCAAGUCACCUGGGGCACAGCACUCAGAACAAAGCAGUUUUGCGACAGGGGCAGUUCCUGCUCAGCACUGUGGAAGGCUUCAGAAAUGCUUGUAGGUUAGCUGUGGAAUGUCAAAGCGACCCCUUGGCUCAGGAAAACGUUUUCACCGCUCCCAGCUCGGAGAGCGAGAAUACUCUGAGCAGCUUCUCUGAGUUUCUGCUGAGGAUUUGCGACAGCCUUUGCAUCCCCAUAGUCCUGAAGCACUCAGAAAGGACUUCCAGCCCAGCUCUGAUGGAGGUUUUCAUAUCCUCCCUCAGCACCCUGUUCACUGUUGUGCCGAGCAUGCAUGAGAAAUUCUCUAGGAAGCUGGCAUCCUCUUCUUUCAUCCGACUGGCACUGGAGCUGAAGGCCAAAUUCUGCACUGGACAAAGUAACCCUGCUUUGAAUCAAGCCUGUUCCAGCUUCCUCUACACCAUGUGCCUCAGCCUUCAUUCAGCUGCAGAGAAGAUGGAGGACUCUUCCCAGCAGGAGCGAGAGAUGUCUGAGCUCCUGCAGAGGAGUCUGCCCCAGUUAAACUGCAGUGUGCCUGAAAGCCUCACCCUCCUGUCAGAAACCCCAGAUCCCUUCUGUUCAGAUGAAGCUCUUCGUAGCCACCAGUAUUGCCUCCUGCUCCUCUUGUACUGUGCCUAUGCCCUGGAAGACAGGUUUGUUCCAGAGGCAGAAUUAUUCUCAGCCAUAAGAAAUUUCCUUCUGUCAGUGCAGGACCAGGGAGACUGUCCCCCUCCUUACGUCUUCAGAGCCGUUCUUUACCUUCUGGCUGUCUGUCAAGACAAAGGCGAAGCCUUAGACUCGAGUCCACUAUGUGCCAUAAGGAGAGUCUUGGAGAAUACAUCAGAUCUAAGCUUGGUCUAUAUUCAUCAUCCUGUUCUGCUUAAAUUCUUCCUGCGUUACUCUGAGCUUAUGGGCAGAUUCGGUCGCCGGAUCCUCCAGCUCUGGUUUUCCUGGGAAGACUACAGUCAGAUUGAGACUGAAGAUGCUGUCUCUGGGCUCUCCUCUGGCUUGCCUGAUUAUCCGAACAGCUUUACCACUUUGCUUCACAUCCUGAAGGGCAAUUCCAGUGUUUUACUCAUUUUACUGGACCUGGUCUGCUUGAGCACCACAGAAGUGGCUCACAAAGUUUUGGUGACCUUGAGUAUGUUCCUGAAAAGAAACGAGGAUGUUGUUGUCUGUGACCUCCUUCGGAGUCAGUUUCUACAGAUCCUGCAGAAGCUUCUAGUGGAGAGCAGCUCCACUACGUUACAAGCUAGCAAGAACCUGCCUCUGUUGCUGAGACUUCUCUUCCUGGUGCAGCUGAGGAAUGAGGCUGAGAGAGAGCUGGACAGCACAGACUUCAAGCUGCUUCACCAUGUCAGUAACCUCUGUGGGAAAUGCAGACCAGGAGAUGUUGAGCUGCUGCAGCCUUCCUUAAACUUCCUGUAUUGGAGCCUUCACCAGACAACAACAUGUAGUCAACAGAGAGUGGUGGCUGUACUGCUCUCUAGUGUGCCUUUGUUGGAGUUGCUCCAGAAGGUUUUGGAGCUCACCUGGAUGUGGCCCUGUCGCUCUGGACCUGCUUUAUCUUCAUCCGAAGAGGCACUUCUCUGCUCUGCUUGGCUGUUGACUGCUUCCCUCUUAGUUCAUCAGCAUCGUUACAACUCUGAGGUUCACCAGACGAUCUCUCUGGAUGUAGAAAAGGUCCUGAAUGCAGUUAUCUUCAGAAGGAAGAAGCCUGCACUGCUCUUAGUCAGUAUCCUUCAGUUCCUGCGAGCCAUCCUCAGACAGAACUUCUCUUCCUCCCUGCUGGUGCUCGUAGUCCAGCCUACAGCCCAAAGCAGGAUGGAGCCAUCAUUGUCAGAGGACGAUGCCUCCCUGUAUCCACUGGCCACGUGGCAGGUGCUCUCGCUUGUUGUCAGUCUGCAGAACCUUCUGGUCCAGAAAGACCUAUUGCUGUCUCAGACUGUUGUUGCCUGCCUGGAGGUCUUGAUGGAGUACCUGCAUAAGAGGAACCAGGGCAUCGGUAAACCUGCCCAGUCCUUGCUCAUUUGGGCCUCAAUCCUACUGAGCCUUCUGGCCCUGAUCCAACAAGCACAUGUCUGACGUCAAGCCCGUGGCUACAGUCCCAUUGAAAUCAAAGGAACUACUUGUGUGUCUAAAGUUAAUCACGUGCUUCGGUGCAUUGUUGGAUUGAGGCCAGAACACCCAGGCCUCUGCAGAAUCGAACCCUUGCUGUGGUCACGAAUCCAUCCCAUGAACUGGACACAGUAUUCCAGCAGCAGUCGCACCAGUGCCAAACAGAGGUAAAAUAACCUCUCUACUGUACUCUACUCACUCAAGAUUCACCUGUUUAUGCAUCCAAGAAUCACAUUGGCCCUUUUGGCCACAGCAUCACUGGGAACUGACAUUCAGGUGAUUAACCACCACAACCCCCAAAUCUUUUUCAGAGUCUCUGCUUCUCAGGAUAGAGUCCCCCAUCAUGUUGAUAUAGCCUACAUUUUUUGUUACUAGAUGUAUACAUUUACACUUAGCCAUAUUAAAAUGCAUAUUAAAAUGGUUUGCUUGCACCCAGUUUACCAAGCAAUCCAGAUCACUCUGGAUCAGUGACCUGUCCUCUUCAUUAUUUAUCACUCCCCCAAUUUUUGUGUCAUCUGCAAACUUUAUCAGUGAUGAGUUUGUUUUCUUCCAGGUCAAUGAUAAAAAUAUUAAAUAGCCUAGGGCCAAGAAACCAUCCCUGCAGAACCCCGCUGGAAACACGUCUACUUGAUGACGAUCCCCCAUUCAGUGGCGUAGCCAGGAUCUAACAGCGGGGGGAGCAAACAUAAAAAGGGCGCACCCCCUUGGCUCCUCCUCUGGCCACGCCCCCCUUGGCUCCUCCUCCAGCCACUCAGUGCGCCCCCGCCCUUGGCUGGCUCCUCCGGCCGCGCUGCCCCUCACCCCAUUGGCUGCUGGCCAUGCUGUGCGGGCCGCCCUGCUGCAGGGAGCGCGGCUUGGGCGCCCGGGGACGGCUCCACAAGGCGGGGUGGCAGGGGGUUCCGCAGCAGGCCGGGACCAGCAGGGCUCGCUUGCAGAGGUGUCGGGGCUCGCCCCGAGCGGGGCUGUUCUCCCGUCCCCUGGGCAGGCUGGGAGCCCGGUGCCGAGCCCGCGGUAACGCUCCCUCCCGCUGGCGCCCAGCGCCAUGGCCGCACAUCCCCCCAAACUUUGCCUUGGGCCGGGCACAGAGACGCAGCUGGCUCCCAGCCCGCCACCCGCGCCCUGGGCGGGAGCUGGCGGCCACUCUCCGCUCCCCUUCCCAUGCGGCGGCCAGCAUGGACGGGCCCCUGAACCUCUCCACCACUCUGUGGGCAGCAGCAGCCAACCGGAGCGGCGGUGGCCCUGCCUGGCCGGGCCCCGCUGUCGGUGUUCAGCGUGCUGCUGCUUACCCUGCUGGCGGCCGCUGCCUUCCUGUGGAACGGGAUGAUGCUGGCCGCCAUCCUGCAGGUGUGCACCUUCCACCGCGUGGGCCGUCUAGUGCUGUCCUCCACCCUGCUCCUCCGGCCGCGUUGUGCAGGCUGCCUUGCUGCGCCUCCCUCCUCCGGCUGCGGCUGCUGGCCGCGCUGCGGGCCGCCCUGUUGCGCCCUCCCUGCCCCCUUCUCCCGCUCCAGGGGCAGCCGAGUGCCCCCUCCCCUCCCCUCUCUCCUCCUCUGCUCUGCCCCCUCCCCCGCUGCGGGUGCACUGAGCCAGGACGUUCUCAGUGGGGCGGCCGGCAGCACUGAGUCUGAGCCCAGCCAAAACGGAGCCUUUCCCUCCCAAGGCUGCUGCGAAGGCACCCAGCCUCCUCCCCCAUCACCACUUCUCCCCUGGCCGCUGGCCCCCCUAUCGCCGGGCAGCAUGCACCCAGCCCAGCCCUGCUGCCGCGCAUGCCCCGGUCCGGCCCGAGCGCUCCGGACCUGAAUGGGCCCAGCAGUGCAGGCGCGUGCAGCCCGUCUCCGCUCUUUACCUGGCCGCCUGGCGUGCUCUUCCAGACGCGCCCGCAGCCCCCCCUUCCAUGGCUCCUCCGGCCAUGCUGCCCUUCAGAGAGGAGCAGGCUCCGCCCGCUGGCACUAUAUAAGGUAACCCCUAAGAUGCCGCUUUUGAAAAAUAUAGUUAAAAAAACUCCUUCUUAUUGACCUUCUCUCUGGUGGCUACAGAUUUCUCCUUGUGUCCCUUUGUUUCCCUUAUCAGUUUUCUACAGUUCCUAACUUCUGACUUAUAUUCAUUGCUAUCAAGCUAUCAAGUUCCCCUUAUAGCUGCUUUCACUUCCCCUCUAAACCAGGUUCAUUUUUAACCAGCACUGGCUUCUUCCUCAAUUGUGGCUUUUUAGGCAUCUAUAGUAAGGUGUUCUUAAAUGAUUCCCAAUUAUCAUUCAAAUUUUUCUUAUUAAAUUCUUCCUUCCAGCUGGUUUGGCUCGUAAGUGCUUUGUGAAAUUGGCCCUAAUAAAGCACCAAGUAUAUAUAUUACUGGUCUGGACUUAAUGCUGCUUUCCCAUUAUAAAUGCGAUUAAUUCAUGGUCACUUGUACCUAAGCUACCAUUAAUUUUUAGUUCUGUGAUUUAGUUCUGCUUCUGUGGGCUGUGUAAACAUACCUAGAGAGAGAACACCAAAGAAUGAAUGAACAUCAAACAAAAGGGUAAUUGUUGGCAGGGAGGAAACUAGUAAAUGAAAAUGUGAUGUUACAGAUGAAUGCCACUCGAUAGCCCAAGUUUGUCUCUGAUAAAGUCCCCAUAGAACAAAAGAGAGAGCAGAUUAGUAGGAGGUUCCGCUGAUUCAAUAUUAAACAGAUCACAUGCUGUUUCAGCAUUUCAGCAGCAGUAUAAUAUAUCACAAACUGUGGAGUUUGGAGUAUCCUAGUUUGGAAUCCUAAGAAAAGGGGAAACAGUAUGGAUCUGUUUUUAUGGCCGUAGUGCCCAGAACCCUAGGUCAGGAUUGGGGUCCCAUUGUGCUGGGUGCUAUAGAAAUACACAGGAAGAUAUGCUCUCUACCCAGGUAAGAGCUUACAACGUAAGAAGGUGAAUGACCUACAAAAGGUGGGGAGACAACCAAAUGGGUACCGUUUUUCUAUACACUCUCAGCUUGUUUACACACCCAGUUGCACCGGUUUGAUUUAAGGUAUGAUUUUAAACCGAUUUAGCUAAAACUGGUACAGAAGGCUAUGUGGAUGCUCCUUUUGGUCUGAACCAGGCUUAUUUAGCUUAAAGGCAGAUUAGGAAGGUGCUUAAGCAAAACUGAAAUAAGCCACUCAAACUGAAAUGGGAGUGUCCACAAGGGUUUUAGUCAAUUUAGCUAAACUAGUUUUAUUAAACCCUUACAAACUUUUGUGUAGACAAGGUCUACUCCUUUGGGAAUUCUGCACCAAAAAAAUAAAAAUUCUGCACACAAUAUUUGAAAAUUCUGCAAAAAUUUGUAUAUUUUGUUUGUCAAAAUAACACAAUAUAAUCAUGCCAGUUACAAUUAUUUUG
Chrysemys picta bellii (western painted turtle) is the source of this 6725-nucleotide non-coding RNA. NCBI's taxonomy places the organism in Eukaryota, Metazoa, Chordata, Testudines, Emydidae. The record is from RefSeq and is a predicted model, not a curated record.